Manis javanica (Malayan pangolin) is the source of this 1575-nucleotide non-coding RNA. NCBI's taxonomy places the organism in Eukaryota, Metazoa, Chordata, Mammalia, Pholidota, Manidae. The record is from RefSeq and is a predicted model, not a curated record.
CUCUAUUCCAGUAGGAACUUUGGAAUACAGCAUCAGAAUGAUAAAAGCGCUAUAUGGAGAGAGACCAGAUAGAAGGGAAAUGAGAAUAAAGAAAGGCCUCCCACCUCUCUCUCCCUCCCCACUCACUGCCUUUUAUCUGUGUUGCAGGCUCUGAACCCUGGCUCCCCUCUAUACCCAGUUUGGGUGGCUCCUGGAAGUCAGGGUGAGAAGUGGUCGUAGCUAUGUCUGUGGCCCACAUGCGUGUUGAAAGUUAGAUAUCCACAUAGCCUCAUCAGCGGAGAUUCUGUUGAAGAGACCUGCUCAUGGAAGAACUACGUGAAGUUUCCCCAAACAUCAUGAUGUUUCAAGCCUCUGCCUGAUCAUCUCUUUAUUUGCCCGUUCAUCCACCCGUCCGUAUGUUCCAUCAGCUGCAAGGUGCUGGAGUCACCGCGGAUGCAGAGCCAGCCUCGCCCGGUUCUGUUUGCUGCAAGAGACACACAGUGAGAUGGCCCUGCCUACCUCGUGUCACUGCUCUGAGUGGUUACCGAAGUGUUGCACGUGGCUAACGUGGCAUCUGACACACAGCAGGCCCACAGUCCCUUUCUGCUGGUCUCCCGUGCCUGCAGACUGUGCUUCCUCUGUGCUGCCGCAGCGCCCAGCCUGGAGCUCUGUUGUAGGACUUACCUCCCCACACCAUGAUGGGCUCUUUCCUCUCUCACUUGUUCCCUAAGGUGGGAGUCUGUUCCUUGUCUGUCCCCAGCACCCAGCUCAGUGGCCACCUGGUGUGGGCUCCUGGUACACGUCCAGUGAAGGAGCCGUAGCGAGAAGGGGGCCCAAGAGAAAGGUUACUCGAGGGAACAGGGAAGAAAGAGACGAGAGAAAUGAUCCUGGGAAAUGGGGUUACACUGCCAGGGAAACAGAGGAGAUAGUGGGAGUGCAGACACGGGUGAAGAUCUCCACGUGGUGCAGGCUGGGGGAGCCAGUGAGGAGACUGGCCAGUGAGCAGCAGGGCCGGACCCUCUGCACGGCCAUUCGGCCAUUCGCAGACUUUGAGUCCCUGCUGUGUUGCAGGCAGGGGGUGAAAUUAUGUAGAGAGUGUCUCAUUUAACCAUUUCAAGCACCCUGGAAUAAGUAAAAGAUAUUAAUUCCUCCAUGGAGGAACUAUCCCCCAGAGCUAUUUUAAGGAUGACAAAAGUGGAGAUUUGUGAAGUUAAAUUAUGUGAUCAGGGUCAGCCAGCUAGCAAGGAGUGGAGCUGUGAUUCAUGGGUCUGUCUGGCUCUAGGGUCUGGGGACUCACUGCCCUCCUGUCCCCAGUCCUUUAUGCAGCUAGGCCCAGAGCUGGCUCAGUGUUUGUCAAAGGAGGUCAAGUGUGUCCUGUCGGUCACCGUGGUGAACGGCGCAGCAGGCCUGCCUCUCAGUAUUCUUCUCCCUUAAUAGUUUGGCGUCCGGUAAUUGACAUUCGCGAGGCGCUCUGCAGCGAUCUGUACAGAGACAGCCCUGUAGUAGGAAACCAAAUCGAGAGGGUCAGAAUGUCCCCCUAGAGAGGGCGCAGAGGACCUGGUUCCCGUGGGCGAAGCUGAAGGCGCACUGGCCGUG